Molecule: long non-coding RNA, 311 nt
Filed under: Dromaius novaehollandiae (emu)
Lineage: Eukaryota; Metazoa; Chordata; Aves; Casuariiformes; Dromaiidae
Description: lncRNA (ENSDNVG00000016712.1)
Source: RNAcentral
AGAAGGAUAUGCCCCAAAGACACCUACCUACGUGUAUACUGAUUUCCUUCCCAGUUUAUUAGCUGGAGAGUUCCAAGCUGAAGCUGUGCAACUGUGUCUGCUGCCAAGGGGGAAGCUGGCGAGCUUCGACUCAGCACUUCGUAAUGAUCUGGGGUUCACAGCUGAGUGUAUGUGGUCAGCUGUGACACCAUGUGGGACAGAUCAGUCUGCACACAAAAGGAUUAAAAUGAGGCUGCUCUGAAGCCGGAACUGAAAUCUGGAGUACCUGGCUACUGCACCUUGUGGACUAACCUAACACAGCAAGAGGGAGC